GUUUUAAUAAUUUAACAAAAAUAUUGGUCUUGUAAACCAAAAAUAAGGGACAACCUUUUAAAGCU
This 65-nucleotide transfer RNA is filed under the name Neocapritermes sp. H TB-2017. RNAcentral's name for it is "tRNA-Thr". It matches the Rfam family "tRNA". From Rfam's summary of the family: Transfer RNA (tRNA) molecules are approximately 80 nucleotides in length. Lineage: Eukaryota; Metazoa; Arthropoda; Insecta; Blattodea; Termitidae. The record is from RNAcentral.